RNAcentral lists this long non-coding RNA (10931 nucleotides) under Gallus gallus (chicken). Lineage: Eukaryota; Metazoa; Chordata; Aves; Galliformes; Phasianidae. The record is from RNAcentral.
UUUACAUUCUUCCUUUUAAAGCUGAUUUCUUGUUGAUUUUUCUGCCCUCCUUGCAAAAGGGCCUGAAAUCUCAGUUUUCAGAAAAGCUUUGGUUAGUGUGGAUGCUGGUAGGAGUAGAAGCAAAGAAGAACAGAUUAGAAACAAACAAAACCAUUUUGAAGCUGUAGAAUCUAAUGAUGACAACAAAACUCAGAUCACAAAUCCCAGCUGUAAAAAAGAAAUUUGAGUGCAGGCAUUUUGAAAGCAUACCCAAAUAGCAUUUCUGGGCUGAUCAAUAUGAAAGGCCCCAGUAACUCAUUAAUUCACUGGGUUUUAAUGCAGAAUUGUGCGUUCUGGCCACUCAUGUCAUUCUGUUGCUUGUGCCUUCCUGCAUCCUGCCUAUAUGCAAGUGUGAACCUUGCCAAGCUUUGCCCACUGGGCAGCAUGGAUCUCCUUCCCAGUUCUUAUUUUAAGAGAUGAAGAAUAUUUUGGGGUUAAAUACAUAGCACAUUAACAUCUCUCUUUCCUCUCUCUGUGUCUGUGCCUGCUGCGGUGAUCUCAUGCCCCUCCAUCCCUUGAUAUCAGAAGGACUGACAUUUAUAGGACAGGCAGUGCUCACUCAUCCUUCAGCAGCAUCUCUUUCUCUGCCAGGUGCCUAUGGGAUCUGUUCAGGCCACAUCUAUUAGGAACCUGGCCUGUGCAGCCCAGAAGACAGCUAGAGAUGGAUGGUGCUGGCGUGCGGCCACUUCGGAAGACAGAGCUGGAUCAGCCUGCCGGGGACAGAGGCAGACAAAUGGAACCUGCAGGACAAGCAUGCCAUUACCUUGUUUGCCAAACUCAUUACAGAGAAGUUGCAAAGUUCCAGUAUGCUGCCCCUGGCCUCCGAGACAAAGCUGUCAGCUGGUUCGUGAAUAAUUCCAGGCCACAUUCAGGCAGCCCGUUGUCGCUUGGCGCCCAGCAUGCUGCAGGUGAAGAUGGAAGCUCCAGCCCCAAGGAGGAAUAAUGCUGACCCCCAUCAGCACCAGCUCCUCACACUCAGCAGAGAUCAGGUGCUCUGGGGUAAGCUCCUGAGCAAUGUUUAAUUUCCCUCACUUCAUUCCACGUCUGUCUAACAGACAGUAUGUAACCAUAAUUUGGCCCAGCAGGUUACGUGUGUGCAUGGUGGCAACAAGAAAGCUCUUCUGAUGUUUUGCUUCAUGGGCCAAAUUUCACCCUGUUCUUUUGGGUCCUUCACAGACACUGUGUGGGAUUCAGAUUCACUGCUCCCUAACUGUGCUUCUCUGUGGUGCCUGAGCUUUGUAAUCGUGAUUUUAUUUUAUUUAAGAGUGACCCAGAAGCAUCAUACAUCCUCUUGUUUUCCACUCGGAGAACUGAGGCACAGAAAAGCUGUGAAAAAUUUCUACUGAGGUUUCUUUUUCUGAACUUGAAAAUUGAUGAGACCGAUUAUUUAUUUGUUUAAAGCACUCAUCUCUCUAGCUGAUUUUCACAGCCUUUGCUACGUUCACAUCUACAAAUCCGGCCCUGGAUAUCUCAAAUUGUGAAACAAUUUACCAUGGAAAAGUUAAGUCCUUGUUUGUCUCAAGGUUUUGUGACAAAUGACAUCAGGGUCUUAUGCACCUGGGUCAUCUUCCCAUUAGAGUCCUGAUCCAUGGCCAGAACACCCCCUUGCUCUGUGCUGAAGGAAGGACCCCGGGCCCUGCUGUGAACUGCUUCUGACAAUUAGCAGUGAUUUCGAAGGUGUUACUGCCCUCCUGCAUUUGGCUCAAUGUCUGUUCCUCAAAACCCAGUUAAGUGCGAGGGCUUUGGUGACAGUGCUGUAGGGGACUACAGUUCCAUUUUGAGACAUUCAAGCAGAACCUCACUGCCUAAGCCCAGGGAUGAUAAAUGGGAAUUUUGUCAAAAUCUUGUUACUGAAACUGCUGGCUUAAGCUUAUAAUGUUUCCUGUCUGAUUAUGUACAUGGUUGGAGAGUUAAUUUACUCUGUAAUUAACUGCUUGACUGUUUGCCCUUGCCAAUCUUCGUUCCCUAUGUUGUCUUUUAUGACAAGAGGCUUAGUUUUCCAAUGUGCAUUUCUAUUUCGUUUGUGUUCCUGCUCCAAGACACCACAUAGCUUGUUGAUGUUUCAGAAGGUGGCUGAUACAGCCUGCCUGGUUGCAGUGAUCUGUGCCAUACUGUGAGUGUUGUUGGGCCACUGAGGCAAAGACUUUGCUGAUCAUUGUUUUUUCUUCUCUCAAGCCAGGUUCUUGCUUGAAUUUUGUGCAUUCAGUGACCUGUGGAGUCUGGGUUGAACCAGAACAGGGAUUUCAAAUGUCCUGGGACUUCGUGAUAGCUGGGAAUAGCCUGUGGAAGAUGACAGCAGAACAGAACCCUGUAGCUCAGUACUCUUCUCCCUUCUUAAACUCCAACAUAUGUUUUUUAAAACCAAUCUAACAGCUUACCUCAGCAGCUUUGAAGCCUAUCCAGCCUCUUACCCAUGUUCCUCUAGCUUCUAUCCUCUCUGAUACUGAGCAUGUCACUACAUCCUUCCUCAGCUGCUUCUCCUGUGUCUGGCUUUCAGCUGCUCCAGGCUAUGAUGAGCCACCACGCAUGUCUGCCAGCAAUUUCAAAGGAUUUCUGGAAUGUCAGUAUCAUUUGGGAUGCUUUUAUCCAGAGAUGUAUUGUCCACAGAAGGGCUCCUGUGAGUUAGAAGGCACCAGGUGGCAUUUUCAAAAUGGUCUGUGUAGCAUAGGAUCUCAGGUCCCAGUGAACACCAAUAAAGAAGGGUGUCAAUCACUGACGUGCAAUUUGAAAUCAUUGCCUGUUAUCUCAAAGAAAUGGAGACAAAUGAUGAAACACCAGUAUGCAAGGAUUUGCAUUUCUGUCCUGUUGUCCAAACCAGAAAAUUAUCUGUUUAUGUAGACAGCAAAGUUGUUGUGUGUUGUAGUUGCUGAAUGAGUUUGCUGUUGGAUAGGAAGUGUGGUUUAGUGAGAAAUAGCUGGGGGAUGGAGGCUUGGGAUGGAGUGAAAUUUUGGUUAUCCAGUGGACUAAUCAGGAGGCUGAAAACAUAGGAUCAUGGAAUCAUUGAGGUUGGAAAAGAUCACUAAGAUCCCCAAAUCCAACUCAUCCCACUAUGCCCACUAAUGAUGUUCCUCAGUGCCACAUCUCCAUGUUUCUUGAAUAUCUACAGGGAUGGUGACUCUACCACCUCCCAGGGCAGCCUGUGAGAGUGCAUCACCACCUUUCUGAGAAGAAAUUUUCCCUAAUAUCUAAUCUGAACCCCCUCUGGUACAACUUUAAGCAUUUAUCUCUCGUCCUAUCACUGAAUGAUGGCUUUCAGGACAUACUCUUCCUCCGCAGAAGAAACAGACCUCUAAAGCUAUGGUUUCUCUCCAGGACUGCCAGGGACUAAGCUAUAGACCAUGGGUUAUGUGAACAUGAAGCUGCUCUAGAACUGCUUCAUGAUAAACUAAAAUAGCUAAGAGCCUCUCCCUGCCCCAGCAGCAGUCACACUCCACUGAUGAAGUGCAGCAUUGCAGGUUGGGAGCCAGUGAGAGGGCUGCUUCAACAUCUGAGCAGGUGGAGCAGAGGACGGCUAGAAACCUUCCAGCUAUGGGAAAUCUGAGUCAUGGAAGCCAUUGGAUAAAUUUAAAUACAUUAUUCUAGCUUGGAGGAGGAAACCAUCUGGGUAAGUAGAGGGACACGUGUCUAACUAAGGGAAGAGCCCUUUCAAAUGACAGAAGAACUGUCCUAAGCCUGAAAAUCUGGCAGACCCAAGAUAAAAAGACCAGUUUGUAUGUUACUGAUGUAAUGUAUGCAUUUCAAGAAUCCAGCUAUGGGAAAUAAUAUUCAAACAUUUGAAAAAGAAUGAUAAAAGAAUUUUGCUGGUAUUUGCCAGCUGUAUGAAGCAAGAAGGCCUGGAAAUUUCAUCAGAACAUCACAUUAUAAAAUCUCUUUUAAAAACUUUUGAAAAGAUCUUGUGUUUGAACUGCAAAUUCCAUGACAGCUCUGCUUUAAACAAAAAGCUGGGAAAGUAAUGGGAAAAUCUCUCUGUGGUUGGAUUGCAGUGGGCUGAGGCUGGUAAGGCAGUCUGGCUUUUAACUUGGUUUAGAGUCAACGCUCUGCUCUGCAACCCGGCUCAUCCCUGUGGGUUGAGGGUAAUGGCCAGGGGACUGAGUGGUCUCCUCGUGUCUGCACCCACUGCCACAAGGUGCAGAGCAACCAGCCUGGAGCUCUCUCUCUCUCUUGUCACUGGCUUCAAGUGACAUGCAAGUGGGAAUGCAAGAUUUGAAAAAAUCCAGUAAAAGUUACUGCUGCAAACUAUGCCAAGACCCAUGGGGCUUCCUCCCCACCUUGGCUUUAGACAGUAAUGGCAAUCUGAAGUUUUAUUAUAUUGUUAUUAUAUUGUCUCCAAGUCCUGUGGUAUGGGCUCAUCAUUGCCAUCUUACAGAUGGGGUUGCUGAAGCAUAAAGAAUUGAAAUGACUUCCCUGGAAUCAUUAGGUGGGCAAAUGGCAGGGCUAAAAAUAGAGUCCCAGUAUCCAGCCAUUCAAGCAACCCGUCGCCGUUCCUAACUUGGAGGAAGGGUGCCAGUGAAGUUAGUUAAAGCAGGUAACAGUUACUCAGCUGCAUGCAGUACUCAGUCCUCUUGGUAAGAUGUCUUCCCAAGUACUCCUCCUAAAUCGUUCUGAUAACCCAACACUUUUUUGGAGAAAUAUAUUGACAGGAAAAACAGCGAGCCACAUAUGGCUGUACUGUCCAUCAGUCAUAAGAACCCUAAUGCGUUCAGAAGUUCCAAAUGCCUUUUAAAGCUAAUGGUCUGUGCACUAAUAGCUCCUGGCCCUGGCAUCCAGGCUAGCAGCUGGUGCCACUAAUUGGUAGCCCCGAGGAUGAGCACGUGUGCGGUAGGCAGGCAACUGGAUUUCAGGAGCAGCAAAAGGAUUGGGAUUCCUGCCUUGCUAAUCCUGCCGUUUGGCGUGCUCUUUAAUCAAGAUGAAAAGUCAAGAGACCGCGAGGGGCUAACAAACAACAGCUUUGGCCGAUUACAGGAGCCCAGCUCACGCAGACCUGACAGGCAUCGCCUGGAACGGGCAGGCCAGUAACAGCUUGUAAACCCGCCCCAGCUGCAGCUGCUCUUCUUCCCCAACGGUGUCUGCUGGACAAUGCUGGAAAUAGCAUCAGAAGAUAAUAUGUCUGUCUGGCCUUUUUGGGGAUGCAGGAUCUGUUAUUUGAGGGGUGGAUGUCAAGUCGUAUAAAAGCAUCCAAACAUCUCCAGCUAAGCCCAACAGAAGUAAACAGGCUGCCUGACAUGGGUCUAAGAAAUCGUUAGCAUCACUAUUCCUCUCUCUGGUCUCUGCCUUGUGCAGUGCUGGGGGGGCAACUUUGCAAGGCAGAAAGAGCACAAGCACUAAAAUAGGUGAAGGAUGUUGUCAGAGGGCUGGAGCCAUUCCAGGAGGUGCCAUGCACUGCUGAUGCCAGCAGAGAGUGACCAGCCUGUAUCCAACAGGCAGUGUGGGAAGAUGGUGUGAUGUCUGAGCGGUGCAAAGCAGUGGGUGCUACCUGUUCCCUUGGUGGCAGGAAGUCGCAAGGCAUCCUCUGAUGUUCCUUUUGAAUCCUGAUAAUUAAGGUUUUGAUGCUCCCUGUGAAGCCUAACAGGUAAUCUGGAGUGAACCUAUCUGAGCACCGUCUUUGUCCCUUGAGAGUCAGUGGACCCAUAUCUGGGAGCUGCAGAGUCCCUGCAGUGGCUGAGUGUCUUCUUCUGAUGCUCUGCAGGUGGUGUAGGUCACUCCGGUCUCCUGGAUAAAUCAGGGUAACUCCAAACUGAAAAUCGUUUAGGGUGAGUCUUCCUGCUGUGAUGACUAAGGAUUUGUAGACCCCCGUACCAGUCAGAUCUCAAAGCUCUUUCUGUCUUUCCAGUUAAUCUGUCUUGAUGGAUCCAGAUCAUACGAAGCGUCACAGUGAGAUACUGAAAGAGAUCACCAGCUCUAAGCAUUCACAUGAUUAACCUUCCCACCACUCCCCAGAAAUAUCCUUUCCCAUUACACUUGUGUCUGAGACCAAACCUUGCUCCAGAUGGCAGUGGGCUGAGAUGAAAUUUUACUGCAGUCAGAGCUCACGGAUACACAAAAGAGGAGAAAUGUGCAAAAUCGCAAUGACAGGGUUGUUUGGGUAUCUUGUGAUGUUCCAGCUUUAGAGAAAUCCAUGCUUAAUGUGCCUGCAUGGCAAGGUAAACUAAAGACCAUAUAAUUCUAUUAAAUCCUAACAUAGCAGAAGGAGAAAACCCAUGUCUCCUGGCCUCCUUGUGUCUGUGAGCAUUAGGGCAUGCUUUUACACGUGUUGCUUAAUCACUGGAUGCUGAAGAGUUUAGGAUAAAGUCUUCUUUUGAUUUGGCUACUACAGAACUUGGGGCACUGCCUCUGCAUUACUUGUACUUUCAUUGGGCCGUGCCAUGAUCCAGUGCAGUGUGGUUAUUCAGGGGUACAUGGAGGAGGAAGAUCUCUCUGUUCUUUCUUCUGCUGCUGUGCUGCUGUAGAGGAAUCUCACUGUUUGUUUUCCUAGUCAUGAGACUGUGCGUGAGAUGGAGGAUGAAAGCCCCUUCCAGAAGGCAAAUUGGAGCUAUGUAUAGACUUUGUUUCACGCAGUAACAGGAUGAGAAUCUGGCAUUUGGAGUGCUGGGGUGAGCUGCUCAUCUUGGGCAUGGCAGGCACCAGUGGGUGGUGUCUUGUGAGCUCAAAGGAGAGUAAGGAAGCACUUCCCACUCGUGAGAUGUGCUGCAGUGCUUUGUGCGUGUGGUGGUAAGGGUGUCUCAUGGGGGCUGAAGCCCUAACUGGGACAACUGGGAGCUGGUAGAGCUCCCAAACCCACCUCUCCCUCUCCCCGGGUCCACCUUUUUUCUUUCUUUUCUCCAACCUGUUCUUAAUAUCCUAUUUCCAAUCCUGGAGUAUGUUGGAGUGUUUGAACUUAGAAAAUAUACCCUGUUCUAUUCAGUGUGGGACUUCUGAAUAGGUUAGCUGCAUUUUGAUACAGCAUCAUCUGCAGCAGUGCAUUGAGGUUUAGAGCCUUGUAUAUUAAACAUGCCAGCAGAUACUUCUCACAAUAGCUGCCUCCUCUUUCUCCAUGUAUGAAUAAUGCAGGGAGUUCCAGAUCAUCUGUCCCUGUCAUUGCUGCUGCAUAUUGAUAUAGUCACAAAGACUAACUGUUAGAGAGCAAAACGUGUGAGGAUGUUCCCUGACCUUUCCCUUCUCCCACCAGUAAAUCCUGUUUUUUUUCUAUGGAGGCAACAAGCACUAUCUGCUGGCAGCAGUGUUUUGGUGAUCUGGGUACAACCAAACACAGGGCUGAGUAGUUCUCAGGAAGGUCACGUUAGUGUGGAUCUCAGUGAUCCUCUGACUUAUUUCUGUGAUCCUCUUUUGUGCCAGAUAGCAAAAUCGAAUUCCCCUUCCUGUCUCUGAUCUCUGUCUCAUGUCACUGCAGGGUACAGGUAUCCUCCACCAGGCACAGCCCCACCUGCAGUGCUGCAGGAGGGCACAGAGGGGGCUUCAAGGGAUCUGGGGGGUUUUAGUCCACCCCGAAUAGCUGAACCUCAGGGGGCUCCCAUAGGCUGACCUUGGUUUUCAAAGUCUGAGUCUAUGGAGGGACAAAGAGGCAUAUGCCUCCUAUAACAGCUUUCCUUGUUGAAGAGGUAGGAGGGAGCUGUGAAGCAACCCUUUCUUACUUGCUGAAGAUUCAGGCUUAUCUGGGAGCCUGCAGGUGUCAGAAGUGGAACGGAUGGCACUGCACCCCUUUGCACUGCUGUCCGUGCCAACAGGGCUGGCCCUCCUGGAUGCUCACAUAUUUGUUAGGAAAAGUGGAUCCAGAGGUCCCUGCUACAGCUGGCAGGCACAGCCACCACCUGUCUGCAUAGGCAAAUGCUGGCAGUUGCUGUUGCAAUGCUCCGCUUCCCCUCUCCCUGGAAGCCACAGUGCAGCGCUGCCUCCUAUUCCAAACACCAUUUUAUUACAGCUCCUCCUAAAGCCUGUUGUUUUCUCAGUGUGGAUGGCAGCGACGUGAGUUUGGCUCAGUGUGGCUCUUCCCUCUCUUGUGCAUUGCUGUGGGUGAGAGUGAGGAGAUCUGUGUCCUCAGGGGGCAGCUUGGCAGAAAAGGGACCUUGCUGGGGAACGCACACUGGCACCCACAGGCGAGGGGUGCUGGGAGCUAGAGCCUAGCUGGCAGCUGGGUGGAAGUGAUGGUGGCUUCUUGUAGAGAGGCACUCUAGGACCUUAUGGAAUGAUGAGGACAAGGACUGAGUCUCCCGGAGCUCUUCCAGGCACUGGUACACUGUAGCCCCCAGACAGAUGUAAUUGAUGAGACAUCCCGCUGUAUGUAGUAAUGGGUGUUGUGUGACUCACCCUAAUGAACAAAAACAAUGCCACGUGCCUCCUAAUGGGACUUCUGGUCUUCAUGUCCCAGUGUUUGCUAUGAAUUAUUUAAGGCAUCAGGAGGGAUCUGUGAGUAAUGACAUCUCUGCUGAUUAUGUCUCACCUCAGAUGACUCCAGGAGUCUGCUUAGCAGUUCAGGUCUGUUUUGGUCCUUCACCGGUGGAUCUGCCAGCUUGCAAAUUUCUCCAAACUCUUAUUCUCUGCUUUCCUUUAGCUCUUGAUUAGGUCUGUCAGAAAAGGAAGACAAGCAAGUUAGCUUUUAAAUCUAAGGACAGUAGCGAUAUUCACGGCAGGAUCUUAUUCAGGCAAGUGUGUGAAGAGUGUGCAAGGUGUGCACAAGAGCCUUCUGCAAUUCAUGCUCCUGGACCUCACAGGCCCUCUCCCUUUUGUUGUAGGCAGAAAGCCCUGACUCAUGGCAAUCCAAGCUUCAGACAAAGUUGGUUGGAGCACCAUGAUCAUAAACUCCAUCAUAGAUUGGCUAUCAGCAGGAUGGAGGUAGGUGAAACGGAUGGGAAGUGCCAGCUGCUGUACAGUGCAUGACCUGCUGCAGACCCAGCAGCUCGAUGAGUCCAAGGCUGGUGCUUCUGUUGCAAUAAGAGAGUUCAUUGAGGAAGGAAGAAAGAUGAAGGGAGGAGGCACUGGACUUUGGCUUUGGUGUUCAGAGUAGAACAAAUGGCUCAAUGGGUGGGGAUUUUGGUAACCACUUCGAUUUUGUGGUAGUUUGCUUUUUUAUUUUAUUACUGUUAUUAAACUUGUUGUGUUCACUUUUUCACUCAGUGCCUUGAGGUUGCACUGUGCUCUGGGUUUUGUGUGAAGCCAUUCUUCUAGCUGCAGCCUUGGAACAGAGAGCCUGAAGGGGACUUUGGGAAGAUUAAAGAUUGCUUUAAGAGAAUGAAUGAAAGUAGACAGCCGGUAUUUCCCAGAGCUAAGAGCUGGUGCGGAGCCUUAGCGCUUUGUCGCAGCUCUGAAUCUGCCAUUGCCAAUGACCAAAGGGGAUAAAACUGAACAUCUGCCAUCUGUGACUUUUGACCAGAGAGGGACGAUCCUCCUUAUUCUGGGGAAUGAAGCCCUGAUUUAAAGCACUUCAUGCCCUGCUUUCGCUGAUAUGAGAAGGGCACAUAUGUUAGGGUCAGGCUUCAGUUUUAAGGAGCCUGCUUUUGAUUACAAGCCUGCAAUAGAGCUGUGGAAAGGAAAACAGUUUCCCUUGAAGGAAAUGAAUUAGGAGGCUUUUGUGGAAGCAAAACCAAAGGAAUGAAUGUUGCAGUGCUGCAGUGAGGGGCAAGCUGCACUUCCACUGUACACAAGUGCCUCCAGUUCUUGGCCUUUUCUUUGUUUUGGUGCACAUUGCCUAGAUCCUAAAAUAUCCAACCUGUGCAACGUCAAGACAAAGCAGUUAAGGAGGCAGCAUCUUGAAGAAGCUCUUCUCAGGAGGCAGUGGCUGUUGGAAAUGGCUGAGGUAACCAGGUGCGGUGGGAUAUUUUUAUCCUUUCCCAAGUAGGAGGAUUUAAGAGGACUUCAAAAACAGAGCCAACGUUAUUUUUAAGCACAACAGUUUAAAGAGUUCGGGAUUUUUCUAUUGCCGUAAUAGACCAAGUGUUUCAAAGAUCUGUCCUCUUUAUCUCACUCUUAAGGUCCCCAAGGGGACAUCAAAGCAGAAGCCAGUGAGUUUGGCCUGUCACAGUGGGGGGUAAGGGCACGUCUUGGAUGGCAGUGUGGCAUUGGGCUGUGGUUAGCUAUUGCUAUUGCUAGAAGUCAGGCCUGGAAGUGGUAUAAGGUUGUAGCAGGAGAGGAAUGAGGAAGGUGGUAGAAGUUGCUCGCGCAGCUCUAUUUCCCCAGCAGCACUGAACUUGUGUUGGCAAGCUGUGAAGGAGUGGCUCCAUGGAACCAUUGAGCCUUGGCAGUCUUAUUCAUACAUCCUUCUGUUCUCACCUUCUCAUUCCUUCUUACUUUAAAAUUAAAAAAAAAAAACAACCCACCACCACCAACAAAAAAACCCUUAAGGAAAUAAUGUGUUUGCUUGUAUAGUUUAGAAGAAUAAAAUAACCACAUUAGCAAGUCUUGUAUUUAUUCCUGGCAUCGUUUUCCCCAUUAGGAAGAAGUAUGUCAUAACUUCUGUAACAGACUGCAAAUGCUUUGGCCAAUGGAUUGAUGUGCCCUGUGAUUUAACAGGUAUUUGUUAGAGAUGACUCGACUGUGCUCCCCUGAAAACAAUCAAAACAGAUGGGAUAUCACAUGAAGAAAAUCCCCCAAAAAGCUUAAAGACAGUAAGAACAGAGAUCUGCUAAAACAUGAUUGCUAAUUCUUCCCAGGAUGCAAAGUUUAAAAACAAUUAGAUGGAGGCACAAACUGUGCAAGCAAAUCCAUUUCCACGUGCAAAAUUUUCUGUUAGCAAUUGCAAAUUGGACAGCGAGUUGAAAUUCUCCCCAGUGGAGAAGAGGAAAGCAGAAAGGCUUCUGCCCCUCUCAAAUCUUGUUUGUCUCUGUGGUACUUACAGAGCCCUCAUUAAUGAAGUAUUUAAGCUUGUUACAACCUUAGUGCAGCCCCUGAGAAUAACAUUCAUU